UACGUAGGGGGGCAAGCGUUGUCCGGAUUCAUUGGGCGUAAAGAGCGUGUAGGCGGCCAGGUAGGUCGGUUGUGAAAACUGGAGGCUCAACCUUCAGAGGUCGACCGAAACCAUCUGGCUAGAGUCCGGGAGAGGAGAGUGGAAUUCCUGGUGUAGCGGUGAAAUGCGCAGAUAUCAGGAAGAACACCAAUGGCGAAAGCAGCUCUCUGGGACGGUACUGACGCUGAGACGCGAAAGCGUGGGGAGCGAACAGG
Molecule: ribosomal RNA, 254 nt
Filed under: uncultured bacterium
Lineage: Bacteria
Description: partial 16S ribosomal RNA
Rfam family: Bacterial small subunit ribosomal RNA
Source: RNAcentral